CUGCGUGUCGCUCGGUCAUUUU
Molecule: microRNA, 22 nt
Filed under: Bovine leukemia virus
Lineage: Riboviria; Pararnavirae; Artverviricota; Revtraviricetes; Ortervirales; Retroviridae
Description: BLV-miR-B2-3p
Source: RNAcentral